CGGACGGGUGAGUAACGCGUGGAAAACCUGCCGUAUACUGGGGGAUAACACUUAGAAAUAGGUGCUAAUACCGCAUAAGCGCACAGCUUCGCAUGAAGCGGUGUGAAAAACUCUGGUGGUAUACGAUGGUUCCGCGUCUGAUUAGCUAGUUGGUGGGGUAAUGGCCUACCAAGGCAACGAUCAGUAGCCGGCCUGAGAGGGUGAACGGCCACAUUGGGACUGAGACACGGCCCAGACUCCUACGGAAGGCAGCAG
RNAcentral lists this ribosomal RNA (255 nucleotides) under uncultured bacterium. RNAcentral's name for it is "partial 16S ribosomal RNA". It matches the Rfam family "Bacterial small subunit ribosomal RNA", at positions 99 to 354 of the family's 1533-position model. The record is from RNAcentral.